This 671-nucleotide ribosomal RNA is filed under the name Inocybe abjecta. Its description in RNAcentral is "eukaryotic LSU rRNA". It matches the Rfam family "Eukaryotic large subunit ribosomal RNA", at positions 1 to 653 of the family's 3401-position model. Lineage: Eukaryota; Fungi; Basidiomycota; Agaricomycetes; Agaricales; Inocybaceae. The record is from RNAcentral.
UUGACCUCAAAUCAGGUAGGACUACCCGCUGAACUUAAGCAUAUCAAUAAGCGGAGGAAAAGAAACUAACAAGGAUUCCCCUAGUAACUGCGAGUGAAGCGGGAAAAGCUCAAAUUUAAAAUCUGGCGGUCUCCGGCCGUCCGAGUUGUAAUCUAGAGAAGUGUUAUCCGCGCUGGACCGUGUACAAGUCUCCUGGAAUGGAGCGUCAUAGAGGGUGAGAAUCCCGUCUUUGACACGGACUGCCAGGGCUUUGUGAUGCGCUCUCAAAGAGUCGAGUUGUUUGGGAAUGCAGCUCAAAAUGGGUGGUAAAUUCCAUCUAAAGCUAAAUAUUGGCGAGAGACCGAUAGCGAACAAGUACCGUGAGGGAAAGAUGAAAAGAACUUUGGAAAGAGAGUUAAACAGUACGUGAAAUUGCUGAAAGGGAAACGCUUGAAGUCAGUCGCGUUGGCCGGGGAUCAACCUUGCUUUUGCUGGGCGUACUUUCCGGUUGACGGGUCAGCAUCAAUUUUGACCGUUGGAUAAAGUCUAGGGGAAUGUGGCAUCUUCGGAUGUGUUAUAGCCCUUGGUCGCAUACAACGGUUGGGAUUGAGGAACUCAGCACGCCGCAAGGCCGGGUACUUGUACCACGUUCGUGCUUAGGAUGCUGGCAUAAUGGCUUUAAUCGACCCGUC